CAAAUUUAAAAUUUUUAAAUUAUCAAUACCACGUUUAUAUAUGGUGUAUAAAUGAUGAUUUUUUUAUUAACAUUAAAUUUAAUGCAUGACAAAACAUAAAAAAUAGAGAAUAAAAUUAAUAUUGUUUGAAAUUUCUUUUAAACUAUAAGCUCUUUUUCUUUAAUUAUUGCAGACCGAGGGGCCAUAACAGACCACGGACCGGGUCUUAAUCUAAAAAAAAUUUUAACUGGACGGCGGACGGUCCUAGACCGUAAAAUAUCGAUUCUUACUGGUCUUAAAAGGUCUAAUAUUUUAAUUUCUUCCCAUGAUUUAAUACUUAAGAGUCGUAAUUAGCGGGAUAUGGAAUCCAUUGGGAUUUUCUAAUCGUAAAUUUUAAAUCUUUCACUUGAGAGCCAUUGAUAUAUUUUUAAAAUCUGAAAUGCAUUUCAGUUUGUAAUCCAAAUUUAAUACUACUUCCGGCCGUGGGACCUUUUCAAUAUAGAAACAUUCAAAAAAAUUAAUGAGGAUAUCGUUUGAAAUUCACGUGAUAGGUACUUUACAUUGUGCCGGUGCUUUCCAUUUCAUGAAUGUAUGAAUAUUGGCCAGUCAUUACGAACGCCAGAUCAACUAUCAAUUUAUCAUCAAAUUCAUUUGUUGCUAAAUUUAAAUAUAAGGAUAAUAUUUAUAUAAAAUAUCAGUAAUAUAGAUAUGUAUAAUCUUUCAUCGAACAAACAACAAAUGUAUAACAUAAUUUUUCUUGAGAUACUAAAAAUUAUUUUUUUUUGUUGGAUUCAAAAAAAAAUAUACACAUUUUGACUUGAGAGAAGAUGGUUCAAUCGAGCAAGAGUUAAAUGGCGUGACCCUAAUCAUCCAUGGCCAUUUAUGCCACUUCUCCCUACCAUUAUUUUUUUAAAUGGUAAAAUUUGCGCUACGAAAAUCAACUUGUUUAUAAUCUACACUAAGAAUAGAUGAAUAACAACACCGAUAGAAGAAAAUAAGUAAAGCAUACAUUCUGCAUAUUAAAUCUCGAAUUUGUUAGAGAUGAUGAAUAUGUUAUUUAUAUAAUAAUGUUUGAUCCCUUAAAAUAUUUUCAUGGCAACGAAAAUCAAAUGAAAACCCUAAAAGCUAUUUAUAAGGAAGGACAAUCAUAUAUCUGUGCCACGGUAGAUUUGUGGCCUAAAAAAAUUACAUGAGAAACCCUGGAAAGACAAUCAGGACCUUUGUCGUGUAGGAAAAUGUCUCUGGAAUACAUUCUUAUGACGAAAUAGGAGAGCUAUUUGGUAGUUAGGGAUUUCGGAUAAACUAGUUGUCAUGGUUACAGAUAACGCUUCCAAUUAUUUCGACAAAUAAGAAUAUGGUGUAAAAAUUAUAAAAACACUUACCAAUGAUUAUGAGAAUGACCUAUUUGAAUUAAGUUAUUAUUAUUGAUGGCAUAUCGGGCGUUUUGUGUGCUAACUAAAGAUGGUCUUUCUGUAAUAUCAAACUCAAAGACUUUGGAAGGAUUUCCUGGAAAAAUGUACAACACAGUGGAGUGCAUAUUAAAGGCUCGAAUCUUCAGAAAUCAGUCUUGAACAUUCUAUGGAAAGCCGGGUGGAAUAGCCUUUACAAUCAGUUACAAAGUAUAUUGAAACAAGCUCAUCCGAUGAUGCUGUAAUAACGCUCAUAUGCCCAGGAAAGGACAAUGGAGUUAAAUAAUUCGUAUCAAAUCUAGAUCCAAAUGCCGGCACAGUUUUUCAGACUUGACCCAAUUAAGCCUUUUUAGACUUUUUUUUUGAAAUUUAUAGGUGUAAGGAGUAUCGAUAUACCGAUACUCUGUGGACUCUCACGUACAUGAAAUUCAGAGAAUUCUAUGACACCUAGAAGUUGUAACUGCGUACAUAAAUUUAGAGAAAGCUGUCCAAGAUAUUGCGGACAAAAUAAAGGAAAAAUAUUCAUUUUUACACGGUUUUAGGCUUAAAAGACAAUUUUUUUUUACCUAUUAAAAAUAAUUUUUCUUAAAAGGGCAAAAAUAAUUGGGUUCAUAUGACAAAGAUCUGUUAAAAGGCUAAAAAGGGAUUUUUAUGGAGAUUUGAAAAGUGGAAUUGUUUGGUGACUUAUAGAUUAUUUAGGGUUAGUUACAAGAUCCAUCAUAAUUUUUUUUCCUAACAGAAAUCCAGAAAUUCCAUACCCUUUGUAGAAAUGUGAGCUACAUAUUAAUAUUUUUCAAAACAUUGUUAAUUUUUCGAUUUUACCAUUGGGAAUAGAUAAUGUUGCUAAUAAGAAUAUAAUUAAAUAAGAAGUUAGCAUAUAUUUUUUUUCAAU
Long non-coding RNA from Gordionus sp. m RMFG-2023, 2280 nucleotides. RefSeq lists it as uncharacterized. The transcript has 6 exons. The record is from RefSeq and is a predicted model, not a curated record. NCBI's taxonomy places the organism in Eukaryota, Metazoa, Nematomorpha, Gordioida, Chordodea, Parachordodidae.